UACGCCCCUGCCGCUGCCCCGGGGGUGGAUCAGGUGUCCCGCGAGGGUGGGUGAGCAGAUGGAAGGGCGCCCAUCGCGGGGACGCAGGGCGCUGCUCCAGCCCGUGGAGUGAGAGAUCGGUGGGUGAGCAGUGGACCUGACGCGCAGGUGGGAGCCGCGGCCUAGGCGGGUCCGGGGCUGGGAAGGGCCGGCUGCAGCUCCGCCUGAGGUGUUCAGUCAGAAAAAGGUCAGCUGCUGACGGCCCGGCGCCCGCCUCCUGAGGCUUCGCGACGUGGGAGUGCAGUCCAGGGUGACAGCGGGGCCAGGGUGGGUCUGAAGACCACCCGAGCCGGCGCGGGAGGAAGCUUCCCUACGCUAAUGUCAGAGGUCUGGACAGCAGAAUCUAGGAGCAAGUCACCCAGGUCUUUCAUGAUGCUGUACCAGUCUCCUUCUCUCCCAGCUCUAUUUCCAGGAUCCUUUAUGUAUUUCUAGGAGCAGCGGGAAAUGAAUACAUCUCUGGACUUUGCUUUACCAAACCUGAGGUGAUCGUCAAGUUGGAACAAGGAGCAGAGCCAUGGACUGUAAAAGAACCCCCAAACCAGAGUUUCCCAGGCUGUCCCUGCAGAACUUUUUAACUGAAGGAGCUGCCGUGCUCCCCCACCCGCUUCCUGGUGAGGUGGGAGCCAACACGCGGAGGAUCAGUGUCAAGACGAAAGAAAAGGGCGGUGAGUUGGCCUCGUCGUGCGCAAAUCCUGUUCCAAGACCUCCAGCGUCACGUUUUCCUCACCUGUUGCUCAGGAUUCCAGGUGGCAGGAACAACCAGGUGUGAGGAGCAGUUUUGAGUGCUACCUGUGCAAAGCCCUGCCCUAGAGCUGACUUAAGCGUCCUCGAUAGGGAUAAGGUUACGAAAAGUCACAGAGUAAGCAUUAGGAUUAAGGCUCAAGGUGUGGGGAGAAAUCUUCCGGAUGUGUUUUCUAAACCCCAAGGAAACCAUAAGGGGCUAGAGGGACCUGGCUCAGCAAGUUAGGCAUUAACUGAGAGGACAAGGUGUUGACUUUGGAAAACCGGGUCAGCUCAAGUCAGAAAACUGCUUGAGAAAACACUGAUUGUUCCUCAAGAUGUCAUGCCUAGAUAGCUAACACCAGCCUCAUUGAUGCCCUUUAGAGUAAAGGUCGGAGUUCAAAUUCAAGGUGACUGGAGGCCGAGGGCCUUGGGGUGUCUAUUUUCUCACAUUGUUUACCUUCCUGAGAGCAUAAUAAAGACGAUGAGGCGUCGGCAUUCAGGGCUCUUGACCCAUGACGUCUUGAGUCCCCUGGUCCCAUCUUUAAC
This 1308-nucleotide long non-coding RNA is filed under the name Sus scrofa (pig). Its description in RNAcentral is "lncRNA (ENSSSCG00005033265.1)". Lineage: Eukaryota; Metazoa; Chordata; Mammalia; Artiodactyla; Suidae. The record is from RNAcentral.